This 76-nucleotide transfer RNA is filed under the name Deltaproteobacteria bacterium. RNAcentral's name for it is "tRNA-Val". It matches the Rfam family "tRNA". Rfam says of the family: Transfer RNA (tRNA) molecules are approximately 80 nucleotides in length. Lineage: Bacteria; Pseudomonadati; Myxococcota; Myxococcia. The record is from RNAcentral.
GGGCGGGUAGCUCAGUUGGGAGAGUGCCGGCCUUACAAGCCGGAGGUCACAGGUUCGAUCCCUGUUCCGCCCACCA